CGCCAGCUGACGUGUCCCGAAUAGGACGAAACGUGCUUUCUGGAA
This 45-nucleotide non-coding RNA is filed under the name Schistosoma curassoni. The record is from RNAcentral. Lineage: Eukaryota; Metazoa; Platyhelminthes; Trematoda; Strigeidida; Schistosomatidae.